UACAGAGGGUGCGAGCGUUAAUCGGAAUUACUGGGCGUAAAGCGUGCGUAGACGGUAGCGUAAGUCAGAUGUGAAAGCCCCGGGCUCAACCUGGGAACUGCAUUUGAGACUGCUCUGCUCGGGUGCGGAAGAGGGAAGCGGAAUUUCCGGUGUAGCGGUGAAAUGCGUAGAUAUCGGAAGGAACACCAGUGGCGAAAGCGGCUUCCUGGUCCGACACCGACGUCCAGGCACGAAAGCGUGGGGAGCGAACAGG
RNAcentral lists this ribosomal RNA (253 nucleotides) under uncultured bacterium. RNAcentral's name for it is "partial 16S ribosomal RNA". It matches the Rfam family "Bacterial small subunit ribosomal RNA", at positions 524 to 776 of the family's 1533-position model. The record is from RNAcentral.